Non-coding RNA from Camellia sinensis, 1842 nucleotides. The record is from RefSeq and is a predicted model, not a curated record. NCBI's taxonomy places the organism in Eukaryota, Viridiplantae, Streptophyta, Magnoliopsida, Ericales, Theaceae.
AUUGUUUGACCGAGUAGUAUGCUCGAGGUUUCCUGAUGUUCCUGUUUGGCACUACCCUAUUCACCGACCGGGCGAACACCAUCGGGCUAUACCUCAUGAGUGCUCUGGUGGACCUGUCUUAAGUCCGACUCUACGAUUGGGGCGGUGCUGGCUUGGCCACCUUGUACGGGUACGUGAGCUCGACGUCUCGCAGGAGCGGGCAUCUGAUAGAAGGCUACUGGAGGGCCUGGGAGCUAUGGGUAUACGCCUACUUUCCGAGAGUUCCCGGGAGUCCUUUCCCUUCUUCGCCGAUACUUCGAUACCGUGACCGCGACUGAGAUCACUUGGCAGCCUUGGGUGAUGAUGCCUGAGGGAGUCAGAGAUCAGUUCGCUGGUGACCGAGUGGCUUCUCACUUUCGGAUCCUGCUCGAUGGCACAGUUUGUCGAGCAUGGUUCUUAGGGGAGUGAUUCUUACGUCAGACCAUCAGCUUGCCUAAGCCAGUAGUUCCGAUUCCGCCUCCGACAUACAUGAGAGUCACAGAGAGGUACACUUCCUAGGAGAUGAUCGAUUUCACCCGAGGCUGGGACGUCGACUUCUUCUGAGUCGAGGGUGACUUCAUAGCCUUCAUCCAGACAUACCUUAUGCCACCUCUGACCGGGGCCCGUGGAGAUGAGAGACCAAGGGCUCCAACUGUGGGAGAGAGAGGUAGAGGGGCCGGAGCGACCAGGACCUAUGGCAGGAGAGGUUCUGGGGCGAGACAGAGGGCUAGGUGGCCGGAGCUACCUACCACACUCACCUAUCGACGACAUUCCGGGGAGGCUUACUAGAUUCCCAUUGAGCCCGCACCAGCUGGGUAUGAGCUUGUCGGGGUUUGAGGCCUGACUCUAGUAUAUACCAUACUUUACAUUUUGCAUAUUUACUUGAUUUCAGUUAUGCUUUAUAGAACACUAAUCUUCUCAACACAUUUGCAGGCACCUAUAGAGUACACCGGGCAGGUCCUCGAGCUAGUGGUUUCCUUGACGCAGAUGGUGCAGAGGAGUAUGAACCUGCUCAGCCUCUACAGGAUUCCGGCAAUUUACUUCAGUUUGCACUUCAUGCCAUGAGACUUCCUGCCGAUACAUCAGCAUCUCAAACAUAAGUUGUUCUAGACUGCACUGUUCUGGCACACUGCACUCAAACACUGCAGUCAAAUGCUGCACCCAAACACUAUACUUAAACACUGCAUUCAAACACUGUGCUCAUACACUACAUUCGAACACUACUUUCAAACACUGUACUCAAACACUGCAUUUGAACUGUAUCUUUUUGCGUUAGGUCUACACCAUGACUGAUGUAUUUGACAAACUGCCCUUUUCAGAUCCCGGGCACAUUGGACGUUCCAGCGGGACCUACAGCAGGACCAUCUAUACCUCCUCCGGUAGUAGAGAGAGAGAGAGACAGGAGCUCCGGCUCGCAGUCGAGGUAGAGCUAGGGGCACCCAUGAUGAGGGUGGCCCUUCAGAGCCCAUUCUAGACGAUGAUGAUGAUGAGACGAGUGAGGACGAGGAGGUAGCGAGUCCACAAUUAGAGUCAUCUGAAGACGGAGAGAGCGAUGUCGGCUCAAAUUCUAAGGGCGGAGAUGAUGCUGAGGCUGGUUCAACAACUAGCUCAGACUCGGGGGCCUUUGACAGCGACGCUGAUGGUGAUAGCUCUGAGUCCAUGCCCAGGAAGAGGACGAAGAGGGCCUCUCGAUCCUGAGGUGGAUGGCAUUGAUUUAGAUGUUUUGCUUAGUCUCUUUUGCCUUUUUUUUUUUUUUAGCUGGUAGUGUUAGCACAUUGUAUUGUUUUAUUUUCUUAAAAACUUGUACUCUUUUGUAAAAAGAAA